This 446-nucleotide ribosomal RNA is filed under the name uncultured bacterium. RNAcentral describes it as "bacterial SSU rRNA". It matches the Rfam family "Bacterial small subunit ribosomal RNA", at positions 330 to 793 of the family's 1533-position model. The record is from RNAcentral.
CCCAGACUCCUACGGGAGGCAGCAGUGGGGGAUAUUGCACAAUGGGGGGAACCCUGAUGCAGCGACGCCGCGUGGGUGAAGGAGCGUUUCGGCGCGUAAAGCCCUAUCGGCAGGGAAGAAGAUGACGGUACCUGACCAAGAAGCCCCGGCUAACUACGUGCCAGCAGCCGCGGUAAUACGUAGGGGGCAAGCGUUAUCCGGAUUCACUGGGUGUAAAGGGAGCGUAGACGGCGAGACAAGUCUGGAGUGAAAGGCCGGGGCCCAACCCCGGGACUGCUUUGGAAACUGUAUAACUGGAGUGCAGGAGAGGUAAGUGGAAUUCCUAGUGUAGCGGUGAAAUGCGUAGAUAUUAGGAGGAACACCAGUGGCGAAGGCGGCUUACUGGACUGUAACUGACGUUGAGGCUCGAAAGCGUGGGGAGCAAACAGGAUUAGAUACCCCAGUAG